GGCACUUUGGCGGAGUGGUUAACGCGAUGCCCUGCUAAGGCAUUUCCUUCGGGAGCGUGUGGUGAGUUUAUUCGAAUCACUAUAUACCCAUUGAAGCCUGUUCUGACUUGAGGUGUGAAAAGUUCGAAUCACACAGGUGUCG
This is a non-coding RNA of Elasticomyces elasticus, 142 nucleotides long. NCBI's taxonomy places the organism in Eukaryota, Fungi, Ascomycota, Dothideomycetes, Mycosphaerellales, Teratosphaeriaceae. The record is from the annotation of a GenBank genome assembly.